This 253-nucleotide ribosomal RNA is filed under the name uncultured bacterium. Its description in RNAcentral is "partial 16S ribosomal RNA". It matches the Rfam family "Bacterial small subunit ribosomal RNA", at positions 524 to 776 of the family's 1533-position model. The record is from RNAcentral.
UACGGAGGGUGCAAGCGUUAUCCGGAUUCACUGGGUUUAAAGGGUGCGUAGGCGGGCAGGUAAGUCCGUGGUGAAAUCCCUUGGCUUAACCAAGGAAGUGCACUCGAUACUGUGUCGCUUGAGUGCCGGAGGGGAUGGCGGAAUUCCCGGUGUAGAGGUGAAAUUCGUAGAUAUCGGGAGGAACACCUGUGGCGAAGGCGGCCAUCUGGACGGUCACUGACACUGAGACGCGAAAGCGUGGGUAGCAAACAGG